CCCCUCUCAGGGUCACACCUGGAGAGUUUCCAGUAGUCUACCAGUCUUGUCUCUGGGAGGGAGAGUCAAGCAGAAGCCUACCCAUUCCAUUCCUAGCUUGGACAGUGGCUAGUGAGUUGAAGGAAAUCUGCUACAAGU
This 138-nucleotide small nucleolar RNA is filed under the name Ornithorhynchus anatinus (platypus). Lineage: Eukaryota; Metazoa; Chordata; Mammalia; Monotremata; Ornithorhynchidae. The record is from RNAcentral.